RNAcentral lists this ribosomal RNA (376 nucleotides) under uncultured Enterobacteriaceae bacterium. Its description in RNAcentral is "bacterial SSU rRNA". It matches the Rfam family "Bacterial small subunit ribosomal RNA", at positions 19 to 393 of the family's 1533-position model. Lineage: Bacteria; Pseudomonadati; Pseudomonadota; Gammaproteobacteria; Enterobacterales; Enterobacteriaceae. The record is from RNAcentral.
AUGGCUCAGAUUGAACGCUGGCGGCAGGCCUAACACAUGCAAGUCGAACGGUAGCACAGAGAGCUUGCUCUCGGGUGACGAGUGGCGGACGGGUGAGUAAUGUCUGGGAAACUGCCUGAUGGAGGGGGACAACUACUGGAAACGGUAGCUAAUACCGCAUAACGUCGCAAGACCAAAGAGGGGGACCUUCGGGCCUCUUGCCAUCAGAUGUGCCCAGAUGGGAUUAGCUAGUAGGUGGGGUAACGGCUCACCUAGGCGACGAUCCCUAGCUGGUCUGAGAGGAUGACCAGCCACACUGGAACUGAGACACGGUCCAGACUCCUACGGGAGGCAGCAGUGGGGAAUAUUGCACAAUGGGCGCAAGCCUGAUGCAGCC